AAUUCUCAACCUCCCCAAUUUCUUGGGGGUAAGGCUUGGACUUUGGAGGCAUUAUGCUGGUUUCCCUUUUGAAGCCAGCUCCUCUUAAACGAAUUAGUGGGGUCCCUCUUUGCCGGUCCCUCGACGUGAUAAGAUUUCUCUACGUCCGAGGUUUGGCUCUUUGUAGGCCCGCUUCUAACCGUCUCUUUCUCGAGACACGUUUGAACC
Molecule: unclassified non-coding RNA, 207 nt
Filed under: uncultured Lactarius
Lineage: Eukaryota; Fungi; Basidiomycota; Agaricomycetes; Russulales; Russulaceae
Description: sequence contains ITS2
Source: RNAcentral